This 322-nucleotide ribosomal RNA is filed under the name uncultured eukaryote. RNAcentral's name for it is "partial 18S ribosomal RNA". It matches the Rfam family "Eukaryotic small subunit ribosomal RNA", at positions 1470 to 1796 of the family's 1831-position model. The record is from RNAcentral.
CCCUUAGAUGUUCUGGGCCGCACGCGCGCUACACUGAUGCAUUCAACGAGCCUAUCCUUGACCGACAGGUCCGGGUAAUCUUUGAAUCUGCAUCGUGACGGGGAUAGAUUAUUGCAAUUAUUAAUCUUCAACGAGGAAUGCCUAGUAGGCGCAAGUCAUCAGCUUGCGUCGAUUACGUCCCUGCCCUUUGUACACACCGCCCGUCGCUCCUACCGAUUGGGUGAUCCGGUGAAUUAUUCGGACUGCAACGCGCCCAGUUCCUGGAUGCAGUUGCGGUAAGUUUUGUGAACCUUACCACUUAGAGGAAGGAGAAGUCGUAACA